This is a long non-coding RNA of Cygnus olor (mute swan), 551 nucleotides long. RefSeq lists it as uncharacterized. Lineage: Eukaryota; Metazoa; Chordata; Aves; Anseriformes; Anatidae. The transcript has 2 exons. The record is from RefSeq and is a predicted model, not a curated record.
GCCUGCUCGAAAGUCACGGCCAUCCUCUUCACAGCGGGACCGUCCUGGAGGAGAGGAAAGAGGGGGCACAGGAAAGCGCUGCAGCCGUCCCCAGGGGCUGUCACAGCAACGGCGGGCCCAAGACCCUGCUCCCCACCAGUGAAGGCUCUGCAGGCCAGGCCCCAGUGCUGGAGACUUCACAGCACCCUCCUCACAAACUGUUCCAUGCAAAAGGAGGAGUGUUGCCUUCCAUGAAACAGGAACGUCCCUUACUGCAAUCCUCUGUCCUUUCACUGUGCACGUCUGGCAAAAAAUCUGCUCCCGUCUCCCACUGGUGCGCUCCUUCAGCCAUCUCCAGACUGACCAGGCCCAGUUUCCUCAGCUUAGUUCAAACAUUGUAAUGCUUCAACUGAGCUGAAUGGUUUGUGCAUGUAAUUUUAACUUGGCUUGAUUCUCAGGGAAUAGACACAGACUGGGAUAAAUAAAUAAAUAAGUAAAUGUACCUCGAGAAGGAGAUAUGCUAGAACAUCUUUUGCACUGAAAAAUAAAAUUUUUAAACUGUAAUAUUUAGA